This 28-nucleotide non-coding RNA is filed under the name Mus musculus (house mouse). The record is from RNAcentral. Lineage: Eukaryota; Metazoa; Chordata; Mammalia; Rodentia; Muridae.
UCCAAGGACCUAGCAUCUGUGUCAGCAC